CGCGGCCUAUCAGCUUGUUGGUGGGGUAAUGGCCUACCAAGGCGACGACGGGUAACCGGCCUGAGAGGGCGACCGGUCACACUGGGACUGAGACACGGCCCAGACUCCUACGGGAGGCAGCAGUGGGGAAUAUUGCGCAAUGGGCGAAAGCCUGACGCAGCAACGCCGCGUGAGGGAUGAAGUACGUCGAGAUGUAAACCUCUUUCAGCAGGGACGAAGCGAAAGUGACGGUACCUGCAGAAGAAGCGCCGGCUAACUACGUGCCAGCAGCCGCGGUAAUACGUAGGGCGCAAGCGUUGUCCGGAUUUAUUGGGCGUAAAGGGCUCGUAGGCGGUCUGUCACGUCGGAUGUGAAAACUCAGUGCUUAACACUGGGCCUGCAUUCGAUACGGGCAGACUAGAGUUCGGUAGGGGAGACUGGAACUCCUGGUGUAGCGGUGGAAUGCGCAGAUAUCAGGAAGAACACCGAUGGCGAAGGCAGGUCUCUGGGCCGAUACUGACGCUGAGGAGCGAAAGCGUGGGGAGCGAACAGGAUUAGAUACCCUGGUAGUCCACGCCGUAAACGGUGGGCACUAGGUGUGGGAGACUAUCUACGUUUUCCGCGCCGCAGCUAACGCAUUAAGUGCCCCGCCUGGGGAGUACGGA
This 644-nucleotide ribosomal RNA is filed under the name uncultured Actinomycetes bacterium. RNAcentral describes it as "bacterial SSU rRNA". It matches the Rfam family "Bacterial small subunit ribosomal RNA", at positions 232 to 886 of the family's 1533-position model. The record is from RNAcentral. Lineage: Bacteria; Bacillati; Actinomycetota; Actinomycetes.